RNAcentral lists this unclassified non-coding RNA (253 nucleotides) under uncultured Acidobacteriota bacterium. RNAcentral describes it as "uncultured Acidobacteria bacterium contains 16S-23S intergenic spacer region". It matches the Rfam family "Bacterial small subunit ribosomal RNA", at positions 524 to 776 of the family's 1533-position model. Lineage: Bacteria; Pseudomonadati; Acidobacteriota. The record is from RNAcentral.
GACGGAGGGCGCAAGCGUUGUUCGGAAUUACUGGGCGUAAAGGGCGCGUAGGCGGUUUGCUAAGUUGGGUGUGAAAACUCUGGGCUCAGCCCAGAGCCUGCAUCCAAAACUGGCGAGCUCGAGUUCUGGAGGGGAUAGCGGAAUUCCUGGUGUAGCGGUGAAAUGCGUAGAUAUCAGGAGGAACACCGGUGGCGAAGGCGACUAUCUGGACAGAAACUGACGCUGAGGCGCGAAAGCUAGGGGAGCAAACAGG